UGGAUGCUUCCUGCCCUUGAACAUAGGACUCCAAGUUCUUCAGCUUUGGGACUUGGAUUGGCUUCCUUGCUCCUCAGCCUGCAGACGGCCUACUGUGGGACCCCUUCUUACUGAAAGCCUCCCUGUAAGGUGCUGAUUGACUUCCAGAUCUGAGGACCCCGUCUCCGCCUCAUUCCUCCUGUUUCCAUCAGAAGGCACAGGUCUGGUUCUCAGCGCCACCGACCUGUCUGUCCCUCUCUGCACAGUUUACUCCUGGGCUCUGCAGAGAGAAGUCAGUGCCUCAAUUUUCCACUGAAAUAUGCACCCUUGACAUCCUGGCAGACGCGUCCUCCAGAGCUGGCUGCAUACGCAUUCCCUCUGCUUUCCUGGAAGUCCCCUCCUUUCCAUCUACAAUGGGACUUUUAAAAAAACUCCCAGUCACUAGUGCACAAGAAGAACCAUUCAAAGCCGGCAUCCAACCUCAGAUUUGGAGCAACCUAAGAUUUGUUCGCAAAGGAACAGAACGAUAAAGCUUCAACCCACCCACGUUUAUAACUGAGAAGAAAGCACACACUUCAUUUGGUAAAUAAAGCAAACAACUGAAAGUAUGCUUUGCUUUGACUCUGUUUUGAGGCCAGUUAGGGGAUGGAAAGGGUGAGGCUAAGCAGGUAAAGGAAAUGGAAGAGGUCAGGAGAAGGAAAAUGUGAGC
Molecule: long non-coding RNA, 688 nt
Organism: Pongo pygmaeus (Bornean orangutan)
Lineage: Eukaryota; Metazoa; Chordata; Mammalia; Primates; Hominidae
Exons: 4
Source: RefSeq, a predicted model, not a curated record